UGUCAGAGGAAGGGGAUUGUGAUGAGAGGAAAGGCCAGGGGACUGGGACACUUUUUCCUUUGUGAUUAUAAAAUUGAACAGACAAGGUUGCUUCAAGCUAGGAAGUUGCUGCUGGAAGUAUUUAGCUUUGCUGGGGCUGGGGGGCUUGACACCCACAGCCUUAUACUCCUUCCUGAGUUUCAUCCCAUCUCACAGGUUCUCCCCAACUUCAUGGCCUUUGCCUAUCUAGGAGCCUCAGACACAUAGGCUAGACAAAGGCCUCAUCCACAUGAUGCGCAGGUAUGGGUCUAGCUCCUGCAUGAGCUCAACAUCUGGGCCUGUCUGAGCUGCACAGCUGAAGAAAGAGACAAGAUGUCUAUAGCCUCACCCACUUGGUAAGAGUUGGACUUUACAAUGGAUGCCCUUUCUUGCACUCCAGAGUAGUUAGAGGUAAAAAACAAGCAAUAUCUGCUGUGGGCUCUUGGCUUUUCUGUGGGUCCCUCCAUACACUACCAGGAACUGCUUCCUUUUUCCUUCCUGCAGAGGAAUCAGGCAUGGCUGAGAAAGACAUUCGAGUUGUGCAGGUGGUGAUGAUUUGUGCUUUAGAGGAUGGAGGAGGCCUGCAGGGAAGGCGGAGCUGCGGGGAACACUCUCUAGGAGGGAGAGUAACAUGCCUACAAACACCUGGGAAGGUGAGGGCUGCCUCUCCUGCUUGGGCUGGACCUGGGACCAGCUCUCAGAGAUGGGAUUGGAGGGGCAGAAGAAAUGCCCCCAGAAAGAGGGAGGAAGCAGCAUGUUGGCAUCCUUCUCUCUCAGCUCUGGAAUGGGUUCUUCCUAAGCACAAAUGUUGUGUUCAGGGACACUCAGCCCACACUCAGCUGGUGACCCUUUAAUGUCCAAGCAUCCACAGGCAGGCACUGGCUGCCAUGGCUGUUUCCCCAUUGCCUCCUCAUGACUUCUGCCUCCUCCUCAGGAACCAGCUAGAUGUCAGGGCCGGGAGAGGUGUUAGACCCUCUAGGAAAAGAAAGCAGAGCCAGGCUGGCACGUUCUCUCUGAGACGACAAGAGUCCCCAUCCCCUUGUGAUGUCAUCAUCCUAUCCCGUUGUUCUGAAAUGAUGAAUUCCACAAAGGAAUUCCUAUCCAUGGCCCCUGCUUGGAACUAGACAGGAACAUUCCUCCAGCCUCCAUCAUCCUCCCCUUCCCCUACUCUGAGGAAUCUUCUCACCUUUCAUUAGACUCUAAGUUCCUUGGAGAGUCAGUACUCACGGGGAGUACUUUUAGGAUCAACACUUGUGGACGGGAGAAGAUGGAAGCAGGACUGGGUAGAAGAAGAAGCUGGGCUGCAAUGAAGUCCCAUUGAAGACCUCAGCUGACCUUGCAUGGAGCCUGCAUCCCAUCCAGGAUACCUGUUACAUUUACUUGUCAUAUCUCCUCAAGCUUCUCUUGGCUAUGACAGUUUUUUAGACUUUCCUUGAUUUUGAUGACCUUGACAGUUUUGAGGAGUUCUGGGCCCGAUGUUGCAGAAUGCCUCCUUAUUGAAAUUUGUCUGAUGUUUUCCUCAUGAUUAGAUUGGGGUUGUGAGUUUUGGGGGGAAGGUAAUAGAGGAAAAGUGUCAUCUUCAUCACAUCAUAUUAAAGGUACAUAUUAGUGACAUGA
RNAcentral lists this long non-coding RNA (1635 nucleotides) under Homo sapiens (human). Its description in RNAcentral is "HSALNT0399160". Lineage: Eukaryota; Metazoa; Chordata; Mammalia; Primates; Hominidae. The record is from RNAcentral.